This is a long non-coding RNA of Pollicipes pollicipes, 256 nucleotides long. RefSeq lists it as uncharacterized. Lineage: Eukaryota; Metazoa; Arthropoda; Thecostraca; Pollicipedomorpha; Pollicipedidae. The transcript is spliced from 3 exons. The record is from RefSeq and is a predicted model, not a curated record.
CGCAAAACGGUGGUCGAGUUCGGCCCGCCAGCAGAACAUGAGUCAGCGCACGAGGCCGGCGCUUCACAGGACCGUCACCAGGCCUGUCGCGCGACGGUGCAUGGGACUGUGGUAGAGCUGAUGGCCUACGGAAGUCGGUGUUUCAGUCAGAAAACAUCUUGGCGGCCCGCCCAAAUUCAGCAAGCAAGCUGGAGAUUUUAGCUGCCGAGAAGUGCGCGCUACUGGUCAAAAAAGGCAAACGCUGGUAAGGUUUCAG